CAGUCGCCGCGGUAAUACGUAGGGUGCAAGCGUUAAUCGGAAUUACUGGGCGUAAAGCGUGCGCAGGCGGUUAUAUAAGUCAGAUGUGAAAUCCCCGGGCUCAACCUGGGAACUGCAUUUGAGACUGUAUGGCUAGAGUGUGUCAGAGGGGGGUAGAAUUCCACGUGUAGCAGUGAAAUGCAUAGAUAUGUGGAGGAAUACCGAUGGCGAAGGCGACUCUCUGGUCUGUAACUGACGCUGAGGAGCGAAAGCGUGGGGAGCGAACAGGAUUAGAGACCCGAGUAGUCCCUGUCUCUUAUAC
This 301-nucleotide ribosomal RNA is filed under the name uncultured bacterium. Its description in RNAcentral is "partial 16S ribosomal RNA". It matches the Rfam family "Bacterial small subunit ribosomal RNA", at positions 509 to 807 of the family's 1533-position model. The record is from RNAcentral.